RNAcentral lists this long non-coding RNA (1379 nucleotides) under Ananas comosus (pineapple). RNAcentral describes it as "long non-coding RNA (ACOM_LNC034812)". Lineage: Eukaryota; Viridiplantae; Streptophyta; Magnoliopsida; Poales; Bromeliaceae. The record is from RNAcentral.
AGCCAAGUGAAUGUAUAGCAUUAUGUGUUACGGGUUUGGUAUCCCAGUUGAGAGGAUUUAGGGCUGAGGUGUAUGUGAGACGUCCAUCACCUCGAGCCUAGUUUUGGUGCGGUAUUCCGCAGUUGAUUGACUCGAGACCGAGUCGGGUGGUUAGCUUGGCUAGGGUAGAGGAAAACCUUAGGAGCAAAUAACCAAUGAUGUAAAGUGAUAAGAUGUAUAAAUUAUGAAAAAGCUAUGGAUAGCAUGAUACAAAGUAAAAUCAUUUAUUCUACUUGUAUAGUUGCAUGAUUCGCAUAUAGCAUGGCAUUAUUGCAUUCGUGAGGCAAAGCAUGGUUUUAUUAGUUGCAUAAUAAAGAUAUAUAUCUAUCUGUUUAUUGAACUAACUUGCAGUUGCCUCCCUUGGACCUAUUGGUCGAGCUUUUUCCUUGGGUGGCCGUACCCACUGGGAACCAUGGAGUUGGUUCUCACCCCACGUGGUUUUGGGGUGUUACAGGUUCGCACGUGAGCGGCGCGGCGGCGCGAGGCGAGGGCGUAGCUCCAUAGUUAGCGCCCUACCACGGAGACCAGAGAUAGCGGUACCCUGAGUCGGCCUUACUUAGGGAUGUAAAGAAUGAAAAGAAUCAAGUUGUAAUAAUCAUGUUAAAUCGGAUUGUAUUUGGAAGUUAAAUGUAAUAAGUACUUGGGAUGUAAAAUGUAUAUAGUGAAUGUGAAUGCAUGAAUAACAUAGGAUGUGUUAUGUUGUUUGAUACCUUCCUUAUGCAAUCUUUGAUUGAAAUGUGUUCCUGGUUGGAACUUUGUACAUUGUAUUGAUUGUGAUGCCUUGAAUGUACAGGGGAGACUCUGUCCGCGGUACAGGGGAAACCCUGUCCCUUCGGCGGUCUGUUGCGGCGCCGCGACCCGGCCAAAUAGGCGAGCGGUCGCGGGGCGUGAUAGAUAAGAUGGUAUCAGAGCAUAAAAAGAACAUAAAAAGAAUAAUAGAAAAUGGUUUAGUUGGACCUAGGAGACCCUAGGAUAGUAAACCAUAGGAGAUUAAGGCUCGUGAGAUACGAGGACUUGUGACUUUUGGCGAAAGGUUAAUUGAUUGGGUUAUGUCAUAAACCUCUAAAACGGAUGUUAGAGGUAGACUCAAGGUGAGGUUUAUUCUCAACAGAGGGUGUUCAUAUUGGGUGCACACAACAUGAAGCCGAGUGAUGAGAGUAGACGCCUUCGCGUGACUUUCGCCCGAUUUGAGUCGGUAUUAAGUGUUUCGUGUUCGACCUAGAAGGUCGAGGAUUAAUAAGGUUGUUGCGUUUUAGGGAGUAAUAGCACCGCGUAGGUGAUCUUCUUUUAGAUCGGUGCGGGAUGGGCCAAGUGGUGUCCCUGGGCAAUUUGAGGCGAGC